GAGUUUGAUCCUGGCUCAGAAUGAACGCUAGCUAUAUGCUUAACACAUGCAAGUCGAACGUGGCUUGCUUCCCCAUCUAUCCGUGUGGGGGCAGAAGCACAGCAAUAGCAAUAGUAGGAUUUGGCCCCCCUUAGCGUGCUCACUCACAAUGAUACGUAAGUGGGCGUGGGACACAGCAAGCAAAGUGGCGAACGGGUGCGUAACGCGUGGGAAUCCGCCGAACAGUUCACUCAAAUCCUGAAUAAUUCAUAAAGCAAGCUAAUUCGCGCUGUUCGAUGAGCCCGCGUAGUAUCAGGUAGUUGGUUAGGUAAAGGCUCACCAAGCCAAUGAUGCUUANUUGGUCUUUNCGGAUGAUCANCCACACUGCGACU
This 371-nucleotide ribosomal RNA is filed under the name Pseudotsuga menziesii (Douglas-fir). RNAcentral describes it as "SSU rRNA". It matches the Rfam family "Bacterial small subunit ribosomal RNA", at positions 9 to 320 of the family's 1533-position model. Lineage: Eukaryota; Viridiplantae; Streptophyta; Pinopsida; Pinales; Pinaceae. The record is from RNAcentral.